RNAcentral lists this ribosomal RNA (443 nucleotides) under uncultured bacterium. Its description in RNAcentral is "partial 16S ribosomal RNA". It matches the Rfam family "Bacterial small subunit ribosomal RNA", at positions 338 to 795 of the family's 1533-position model. The record is from RNAcentral.
CCUACGGGUGGCAGCAGUGGGGAAUAUUGGACAAUGGGGGGAACCCUGAUCCAGCGACGCCGCGUGAGUGAAGAAGUACUUCGGGAUGUAAAGCUCUAUCAGCAGGGAAGAAAGAAAUGACGGUACCUGACUCAGAAGCCCCGGCUAACUACGUGCCAGCAGCCGCGGUAAUACGUAGGGGGCAAGCGUUAUCCGGAUUUACUGGGUGUAAAGGGAGCGUAGACGGCGAUGCAAGUCUGGAGUGAAAGGCGGGGGCCCAACCCCCGGACUGCUUUGGAAACUGUAAGGCUGGAGUGCAGGAGAGGUAAGUGGAAUUCCUAGUGUAGCGGUGAAAUGCGUAGAUAUUAGGAGGAACACCAGUGGCGAAGGCGGCUUACUGGACUGUAACUGACGUUGAGGCUCGAAAGCGUGGGGAGCAAACAGGAUUAGAUACCCCUGUAGUC